AAGUUAAAAAAAACAACUCAAACAACUUGGAAUUAUAAUGGGGACAAUGGAAAAUAUUUCACAGAUAAAUUAUGAAGAUUAAGCAAGAUAACAUGCAGAAUGGCCUAGCACUGUUGGCGUACAAUAAAUGUUAAAUGUCCUCCUUUUAGCCCAAGGCAUAAUGACCAGGAUGAAAGAGAUCUGAGAUUCUUUCUCUAGCAAAAGGAUUUUCCUAACAGGGUCGGACUCCAUCACUGUUUUAAGAGAUCUCAUGAUUGGACACUUAUCUGUAGUGGUUGCCUUUUUAAUGUAGCUAAACCUAGAUUUUGGGUCUGGGUCUCAGACCCAAAUCAAGUCUAUCAGCAAACUUACCACUCAACCUCUGACCUGGUGAAGUUAUUAACAGCUCCAACUAAUAAAAGAGUCAAGCAUAGGCCGGACAUGGUGGCUUACACCUAUAAUCCCAGCAUUUUUGGGAGGCCGGGGUGGGUGAAUAACCUGAGGUCAGGAGUUCACGACCAGCCUGGCCAACAUGGUAAAACCCAUCUCUACUAAAAAUACAAAAAUCAGCUGGGUGUGGUGGUGCGUGCCUGUAAUCCCAGCUACUCGGGAGGCUGAGGCAUGAGAAUUGCUUGAACCUGGGAGGCGGAGGUUGUGGUGAGCCGAGAUUACGCCACUGCACUCCAGCCUCUGUUGCUCUGGGCAACAGAGCGAGACUCUGUCUCCAAAAAAAAAAAAAAAGAAAAGAUUCAAGCAUAAACAGUAAGUCAGUUGUUCAGAAUGGAAUUUCUGUCUUGCAAAAUAUCAAAGCCAAUCUUGUGUUUUCUGUUCCAUUUGAAAACACAUACAACCACUAUACACCUAUUAAAAUGGCCAAAAUCCAGAACACUGGCAAAACCAGAUGCUGGUGAGGAUGUGGGGCAGGAACUCUCAUUCAUUGCUGGUAGGAAUGCAAAACGGCACAGCCAUUUUGGAAGAGUUUAGCAGUUUCUCACAAAACUAAACAUCCUCUUAACAUAUGAUUUAGCAAUUGUACUCCUUGGUAUCUACCCAAAGGAGCUGAAAACUUGUCUACACAAAAACUUGCACAUGGUUGUUUAUAGCAGCUUUAUUCAUAAUUGCCCAAACUUGGAAGCAACCAAUAUGUCCUUCAGUAGGUAAAUGAAUAAAUAAACUGUCAUACAUACAGACAAUAGACAUUAUUUAGUGCUAAAAAGAAAUGAGCUGGCCAGGCGCGGUGGCUCACACCUGUAAUCCCAGCUACUCAGGAGACUGAGGCAGGAGAAUUGCUUGAACCCAGGAGGCGGAGGUUGCAGUGAGCUGAGAUGGCACCACGGCACUCCAGCCUGGGUGACAGAGUGAGACUCCAUCUCAAAAAAUAAAAAAAGAAAUGAGCUAUCAGGCCAUGAAAAGAUGAGGAGGAAUUUGGGUGAUAAUUGGACUUUGGGUAAUAAUUGAUGAGGUAAGUUCAUCAGUUUAAAACAAAUUGUACCACUUUGAUUGAGGAUGUUGAUAAUGGGGAAGACUAUGCUUGUGUGGGGGCAGAAGGUAUAUGGGAAAUCUCUGUACCUUUGUUUCAAUUUUGCUUUGAACCUAAAAAACUGCUCUUAAAAAGUCUUAAUUUUUAAAAAUGAUCAUAAAUUGCUUUUGGAGUAAGAACACAAAUUAUGUUCCCAUGUAGCUAAAAAAAGCGCUAUUUUCAUUUGUCAUCUGUUGCUCAUUCUCUCUAGAGACGAAAGGGCUGAAACCUCCAUUAUUACUAAGUAGGCUUCAGAUCUUUAACAUCAGAAGGGCACUCAGAGAAAAUUGUAGGCUAGCCUCCUUUCACAUUAGAGCUAGCCACUGACAGUUGAAGGAUUCUAAAAAAUACAUUUGUGACAUACUCCCAAAACAAUAUAUAAAAAACGAAAAUAUUUAUGAGACCAUCCAGCUGGUAUUAAAUAGCUUGCCCAAGUUCACACAUCAGUGUAGAGGACUAUGUGCUCGCAAACGAGACGUUCCCGAUAAGUCCUGCUCUUGCAAACGAAGCAGGGCGUUGGGGGCUUGUUUAUGUGUAAACAUCUUGAAAAUCCAGAAAGUCAGGGAAAGGUCAGAAAAACAACAAUGUGUCUUGUGACUUGGCAACAUUCCACAAAUGACUGUAUAAAAUAAAGCAGAGCACGCCAUUCGAGGCGGCCACCAUG
Macaca fascicularis (crab-eating macaque) is the source of this 2162-nucleotide long non-coding RNA. NCBI's taxonomy places the organism in Eukaryota, Metazoa, Chordata, Mammalia, Primates, Cercopithecidae. The record is from Ensembl.